GAAAUGAAAAGUUAUUGAUAUUAGAAUUGGGACUUAGAAUGUUUAUAAAAGGAAUUUUUUUUUAUUAGUAUAUAUGAAUAAAGAGUGAGUUUAUUAAAAUUUAAUUAUAGAGAAUUAGUAUAGUGAAAGAAUUUUUUAUAUUUAGAAAAAGAAGGGUUUAUUUCUUGUACCUUGUGUAUCAGGGUUAAUUUAAUAAAGUUUAAGUUUUUAUAUUUCUCGAAUUUAAAAGAGCUAUAAGUACAGGGUUAUAUUGUUGAAUAAAUAUGGGAAAUGUAUUUAUUGAGGUGAAAUGCUAUUCGGUUUUAAGUAUAUCUAGUUUUUUAAGAAAAAAAUUUAAUUUUAUUUUUAUGUAUUAUAGUUUUAAGUGUUUAAUAUUAUGGUAGUAGAAUUUUCUGUCUUUAGGGAUGAGCUUAAGAACAAACUUAUAAAAUAAUUGAUUAGACUUAUUUGUGGUAGGAUUUAGAGUUUUCAUCCAUUAUAGUGUGUUUAUACUAAAAGUAGAAAAACAUGGGAUUUUUAUAUUAUUUAUGUGGUUAUUAAAAUUUAGGUUAGAGUUUAAAAGGUCUAGAAAAAAUGGUUAAAUUAGUAUAAGGAAGAGGUAUUGGUUAAAUUUAUGGCAAGGUUUUUUAAAGGAACUCGGCAAAUAUAUUUUUCACCUGUAUAAUAAAAACAUGGCUUGUUGAUAAAUGAUUUCAGGUCUGACCUGCUCGCUGAGGAGUUAAAGGGCCGCGGUAUUUUGACCGUGCAAAGGUAGCAUAAUCACUAGUUUUUUAAUUGAAAGCUUGAAUGAAGGGUUUGAUGGAGAAAUGGCUGUCUCUAGAAGAAUUUUAUAGAAUUUUAUUUUUAAGUGAAAAAGCUUAAGUGUGUAUAAAAGACGAGAAGACCCUAUAGAGUUUUAUAAAUAGAAUAUAUUAUGGUGAAAAGGGUGGUUAAGUUUCUGUUUUAUUUUUAUUUAUUUUGUUGGGGUGAUAGGAAAAUUGAUUAAACUUUUCUUGAUUGAAAUAUUGAUUUAUAGACAAAUGAUCCUUGGUGAAGAUUAUAAGAAAAAAUUACCUUAGGGAUAACAGCGUAAUUUUCUUUAGAGUUCUUAUCGAAAAGGGGGAUUGCGACCUCGAUGUUGGAUUAAAAUUAAUUGUUGGUGUAGAAGCUAAUAGUUUAGGUCUGUUCGACCUUUGAAAUUUUACAUGAUCUGAGUUUAAACCGGUGUAAGCCAGGUUGGUUUCUAUCUUUAUAAGUAUAGUUUAAAAUGUUUUAGUACGAAAGGACCGAAUAUUUGAUUAAAAAUUUUAGUUUUGAGUUAUAUUAA
RNAcentral lists this ribosomal RNA (1306 nucleotides) under Trigonopterus tounensis. Its description in RNAcentral is "16S ribosomal RNA". The stretch from base 607 to 1306 matches the Rfam family "Archaeal large subunit ribosomal RNA", at positions 1423 to 2827 of the family's 2987-position model. The record is from RNAcentral. Lineage: Eukaryota; Metazoa; Arthropoda; Insecta; Coleoptera; Curculionidae.